UCCGUAGGUGAACCUGCGGAGGGAUCAUUUA
This 31-nucleotide ribosomal RNA is filed under the name Colletotrichum acutatum. RNAcentral describes it as "partial 18S ribosomal RNA". The record is from RNAcentral. Lineage: Eukaryota; Fungi; Ascomycota; Sordariomycetes; Glomerellales; Glomerellaceae.